UACGGAGGGUGCAAGCGUUAUCCGGAUUCACUGGGUUUAAAGGGUGCGUAGGCGGACAGGUAAGUCAGUGGUGAAAUCUCCGAGCUUAACUCGGAAACUGCCUUUGAUACUCUCUGUCUUGAAUAUGGUGGAGGUAAGCGGAAUAUGUCAUGUAGCGGUGAAAUGCUUAGAGAUGACAUAGAACACCUAUUGCGAAGGCAGCUUACUACGCCUAUAUUGACGCUGAGGCACGAAAGCGUGGGGAUCAACAGG
RNAcentral lists this ribosomal RNA (252 nucleotides) under uncultured bacterium. RNAcentral's name for it is "partial 16S ribosomal RNA". It matches the Rfam family "Bacterial small subunit ribosomal RNA", at positions 524 to 775 of the family's 1533-position model. The record is from RNAcentral.